Molecule: transfer RNA, 73 nt
Filed under: Candidatus Aciduliprofundum boonei
Lineage: Archaea; Methanobacteriati; Thermoplasmatota
Also listed under: 1 other name
Description: tRNA-Phe
Rfam family: tRNA
About the family: Transfer RNA (tRNA) molecules are approximately 80 nucleotides in length. Their secondary structure includes four short double-helical elements and three loops (D, anti-codon, and T loops).
Source: RNAcentral
GCCGCGGUAGCUCAGUAGGGAGAGCGUCAGACUGAAGAUCUGAAGGUCGCCGGUUCGAUUCCGGCCCGCGGCA